UACGGAGGGUGCUAGCGUUGUUCGGAAUCACUGGGCGUAAAGCGCGUGUAGGCGGCCCACUAAGUCUGAUGUGAAAGCCCGGGGCUCACCCCCGGAAGUGCAUUGGAAACUGGUGGACUCGAGUCCCGGAGAGGAGAGUGGAAUUCCUGGUGUAGCGGUGAAAUUCGUAGAUAUUCGCGAGAACACCAGUGGCGAAGGCGGCUCACUGGCCCGGUACUGACGCUGAGGUGCGAAAGCGUGGGGAGCAAACAGG
RNAcentral lists this ribosomal RNA (253 nucleotides) under uncultured bacterium. Its description in RNAcentral is "partial 16S ribosomal RNA". It matches the Rfam family "Bacterial small subunit ribosomal RNA", at positions 524 to 776 of the family's 1533-position model. The record is from RNAcentral.